RNAcentral lists this ribosomal RNA (180 nucleotides) under uncultured Glomeromycotina. RNAcentral describes it as "partial small subunit ribosomal RNA". The stretch from base 49 to 180 matches the Rfam family "Eukaryotic small subunit ribosomal RNA", at positions 696 to 830 of the family's 1831-position model. Lineage: Eukaryota; Fungi; Glomeromycota. The record is from RNAcentral.
GGCGUGGUUGGUUGGUCCGCCUAACGGUGUGUACUGAUCGGCCGCGCCUUUCCUUCUGGGAAACCAAGUUGCUCUUUACUGAGUGACUUGGCGAUCCAGGACUUUUACCUUGAAAAAAUUAGAGUGUUCAAAGCAGGCUUUCGCUUGAAUACAUUAGCAUGGAAUAAUAAAAUAGGACUU